This 196-nucleotide microRNA precursor is filed under the name Oryza brachyantha (malo sina). Its description in RNAcentral is "MIR812 microRNA precursor family". It matches the Rfam family "MIR812 microRNA precursor family". The record is from Rfam by way of RNAcentral. Lineage: Eukaryota; Viridiplantae; Streptophyta; Magnoliopsida; Poales; Poaceae.
AAUAAGAUCAUUUUUCAAUUUUUUGAUACAAUGUUUUGACUCUUCGUCUUAUUUGAAAUUUUUUUGUGAUUAAUAUUUUUAUUCUUACUAGAUGAUAAAACAUGAACAGUACUUUAUGCGUGACUAAUUUUUUUUUUAUCUUUUUUAGAAAUUUUUUAAACAAGACGAAAUGAUCAAACGUUGGACACAGAAAAAC